UUUUUUUUUUUUAGAACAAAAUAAUUCUCCUCUAUUGUAGAUAAAUAACAAUACAUACGGAAUAUAUGCUUCUUACAUGAAUAAGCACCUAAUAGUUUCCGAAAAUAGAGUAUACUCUCUUGUAUAGGGGUUGUUCCUUUUUCCCUUUUACUGAGGCAGCACCUGCACAGCUCCACCAAGGUAGUUAUCGUCUUUACAGUGUCUAGACGCCCAUCGUUGCCCACCUACCCAUAAGCAAACAUAAAAACCAGUGCGCUUCCAUGCCCAUAACUUUGUAUAGUUUAAAUACAGUGGCAUCUUGCUAUCGUAUGCAUAUCUCAGAACUUUGCUAUUAUUUUAUUCAACUAGAUGUU
This 353-nucleotide unclassified non-coding RNA is filed under the name Hevea brasiliensis (rubber tree). The record is from RNAcentral. Lineage: Eukaryota; Viridiplantae; Streptophyta; Magnoliopsida; Malpighiales; Euphorbiaceae.